This 909-nucleotide ribosomal RNA is filed under the name Cardita variegata. RNAcentral's name for it is "12S ribosomal RNA". It matches the Rfam family "Microsporidia small subunit ribosomal RNA". The record is from RNAcentral. Lineage: Eukaryota; Metazoa; Mollusca; Bivalvia; Carditida; Carditidae.
AAAAAAUUUUAAUGUGUUUGAUAACUAAAAGUUUCAUAAUUAAAGUCAAGGAUUAGUUAAGCUUUGAUCCUUUACUAAUAUCACAACUCCAGUAGUUAAGGUUGUUAAGUAAACGAAAGUUUGAGACAGAAGUAGAAAAGUAUAAAAUUAAUUUAAGUUUUUUAAAUUUUUAAUUAUAGUAGAGUUGUCUAUUACUGGUGCCAGCAGACGCGGGUAGACCAGAGACUCGGGUCUAUAAAAAUUUUGCAGUUAAAAGGGUGGUUAGGAUGUUUUAUUUUUAGUUUGUCCGGGUUAACUAUUUAGGUAAAAUUAAGUUUUGUGGCCGAAAUUUAGGUGACUAAAAUAUUUGAAGCCACGAAGACUAAGAUUGAAACCGGGAUUAGAUACCCCGUUAUUCUUAGUUUUAAACUUGGAUAAAAAGUUAAAAUAAAAAAAUUUUUUGUUCACUGGGCGACUACGAGUUAGAUUGGCUUAAAAGUUAAAGAAGUUGGCGGGACUAUAUAUUUUGUUAGGGGAACCUGGCGUUUAAUCUGAUGAUCCACAUAGGACCUUACUUUGUUUAGUGAUCAGGUAGUGUAUGGCCGUUGAAUCUAGACUGUGGAUCAACAUUGAUAAGGUGGAAGAAGUUGGUUUUUUAGUUUACAUAAAGUGUUUUGCUAGAAAUUCAGGUCGUUAUGCUUCUUAUGACAAAGGAUUAGCUGUGUUACAGUGCCUUUCUGGCUUGGUUCUAAUUGUUGUCUGAAAUGAGUGGGUGUAGAGCUUUAACAUGAGGGAGGACUUAACAGUAAAUACUUUCAGAGAGGGGUAUUGGAUAAGCAUUGUAGUUUGUACAAAUGGCCCGUCGCCUCCGGAGAAAUUUGGAGUAAGUCGUAACAAGGUAGCGGUGCGGGAACGGGUCGCUGGUUAAAG